RNAcentral lists this ribosomal RNA (657 nucleotides) under Ushanaia ferruginea. RNAcentral describes it as "Alcyoniidae gen. U sp. ferr GMK-2022 partial large subunit ribosomal RNA". The record is from RNAcentral. Lineage: Eukaryota; Metazoa; Cnidaria; Anthozoa; Malacalcyonacea; Alcyoniidae.
AAACCGUUGAAAKGGAAGCGAAUGGAGUUAGCAAUUCGCCCUGCCASAUUCAGUUGCUCGUGCUCCGCGACGUGCGCGCUYUCGAUCCGCAUGGACGAGACGUGCGCGGGUGCGGCGCYCGGACGGCGCACUUCUGGCGGGCGAGCGUCAGCGUCGGUUGUCGACGGGCGACAAGGAUGCAAGGAAGGUGGACCGGUCUUCGGGCCGGUUGUUAAGCCUUGUGCUCGUAUAGCUCGACGGCGACCGUGGCUCCGAAGAGGCGACGCGUGCCUGGCUGGCGACUCGAACGAUCGGUCUGGCAUGUCGACUGUGGCGGACGGCACGCCUGUGCGCUCGAACUGCUGCCGGUCGAUCGUGCGAUGUUCGCACACUACGCGUCGAAGAUGCUGACGACMAUACGGCUCCAUCCGACCCGUCUUGAAACACGGACCAAGGAGUCUAACAUGUGCGCGAGUCUCCGGGUGAUCGAAACCCGUGGGCGCAAUGAARGUAAAGAUCGUCCUAGACGAUUGAGGUGAGAAGCAGGUGCCWCGGCGCUUGCCGCAUCAUCGACCGACCUAUUCUGCUCUCAGAAAGGUUUGAGUAAGAGCGUAUCUGUKGGGACCCGAAAGAUGGUGAACUAUGCCUGAAUAGGGUGAAGCCAGCGGAAACACUGGU